GAUGGCCUUUGCUAGUUUUCUAGCGAAUGGUUCAUUCUUUUUUACUGUGAACUGUUUUAAUUUUUCAGCGUCUGAGGAAUGUCUUUUAGCCAUAGGGAUAGGCUACUAGAAUGUUAACCGAGCUGAAAGUCAGGCUUAGGCCUGGUAUCCUAUUAAUUAUUUACCAAAAGAAUUCAGUAUUAUAAUUGUAACAUAAGCGUAAAAAACUUAUAAAACAACUUUUAACAACGGAUCUCUUGGUUCUCGCAUCGAUGAAGAACGUAGCAAAGUGCGAUAACUAGUGUGAAUUGCAUAUUCAGUGAAUCAUCGAGUCUUUGAACGCAACUUGCGCUCAAUGGUAUUCCAUUGAGCACGCCUGUUUCAGUAUCAAAAACACCCCACAUUCAUAAUUUUGUUGUGAAUGGAAAUGAGAGUUUCGGCUUUAUUGCUGAAUUCUUUAAAAUUAUUAGGCCUGAACUAUUGUUCUUUCUGCCUGAACAUUUUUUUAAUAUAAAGGAAUGCUCUAGUAAAAAGACUAUCUCUGGGGCCUCCCAAAUAAAUCAUUCUUAAAUUUGAUCUGAAAUCAGGCGGGAUUACCCGCUGAACUUAAGCAUAUC
Molecule: ribosomal RNA, 596 nt
Filed under: Mucor hiemalis
Lineage: Eukaryota; Fungi; Mucoromycota; Mucoromycetes; Mucorales; Mucoraceae
Description: eukaryotic LSU rRNA
Rfam family: 5.8S ribosomal RNA (bases 217-369)
Source: RNAcentral